AGAUAUAAGAAACUCUCAAAACUCUGUGGAAGGGGAAUUUAAAUUUGGGACAAACAUACCCAAAUCUCAGUAAAAUAAUUUCACUGAUAUUGAACACUAAAAAUUACCUUUUCAGCUAGUAUUUGUAAGCUUGGCCAUCUUUUCUGCUACUUCAUGAGCCAUAAUUGUAUUCGAAUUUGACAUAAGAGCAUCUACUAAAGCUUCAUACACAAAAGGAUCGGGUGUCAUCUCCUUGUCUUCCAUCUUUUGCAAAUAGAGCAGAGCAUCAUCUGAUUUCCCACACUUGCAAAGCCCAUGAAUGAGAGCCAUAUAAGCAAUUCUAUUUGGAGCACAUCCUUUGUGCUCCAUUUCAGUCCAAAGCUUGAGUGCAUGAUCUGGUUUUUGAGCAUUGCAUAACCCAUCUACUAAAGUUGUAUACGUUAUGAUAUUUGGUUCCUGUUCUUCCUCUACCAUCCUCGAAAAACAUACGAGAGCUCUAUCAAUGUCACCAUUUUUGCACCACCCGUCAAUUAAAAAGUUGUAAGUAACAACUGAUGGAACAAGUCCCUUACUGAACAUCUCAUUCAUAGCAUCCUCAGCUUCCAGUAUCCUUUUGGCUUUGCACAGCCCAUUUAUUAUCGUGUUAUAUGCAACUACAUCAGGACAAUAACCACGUCUACAUAUUUCUCUGAAUAUCUCCAAAGCUUGAUCCAGUUCCUUGGUCUUGAGAAAACCAUAAAUAGUUGCAGAAUAGGCAACCAUAUCAGGCAGGAAUCCUACCUGAGUCAUGUUAACUAGGAAAUUAUGGGCAUCAUCUGCCCUCCCUUGCUCACAAAGUUUUUUGACAAGCAGGGUAUAAUAUUUUAUCCAGGGUUGAUGCCCAUGCAAACGCAUUUCCCUAACCAUAUCAAGAGCUCCUGCAACAUCCCCUCGUCUACAUAAGCACCCAAAUAUGGAAUUGAAGGUGAAAUGCGUUGGCUGGAAUCCUGAUUCCUUCAUCUUAUUCAGAAGAUCAAAACAUUCAUUCAACCUAUCAGCAAUGCUCAAACAAUUGAUUAAAUUAUUAAAAAGUAACACACUACGUUUACUGCCAAUUUGAUCCAUCUCAAAAAAUAGGCCAAGGGCCAGGUCUAACUUAUCACUUUUGCACAGACCAUCAAUGACUAUUUGGAAAGAAGUGGUAUCAGGGCAAACAUUUUCCUUAACCAAAAUGAUAUUUUCUGCCUCAAAACCUCCAUUCGUUCCAUUGCCAAUCGUGGCCUUCAGCAAAUGAUAGGCUCUAUUAACUGAACCAUUAUUAACAAAACCAGACAAAACAGAAUUAUAAAGUAACAUCCUUUUCCCCAAAUCCAAAUCUGCCUGCUUUUCUUCAAGCAACCAAAUCAUGUCUUUCUCAUCUUGUAAACAUGAUAAAAGCAUUGACAUUAUUUUAACAUCAGGAGUCAUACCUAGUUCCCUCAUUUGGUUGCACAACAUCAAGGCCUUGUCAAUCUCUUUAUUCUUGCACAAACAUCCAAUUAACACAUCAUAGAUUGAAAUGUCUGGAAUGAAUCCCGUUUUUCUCAUUUUAUCUAAUAGAUGCAAGGCUCUAUCCACUCUGGAUUCCUUUACAAACCCAUGAAUCAAGACAUAAAAUGUCUUCUCGUUUAAACUAAUAUUUUGUUCCUUUUCCAUCCACAUGAUCAACUCAAAAGCCCUAUCCACCUCGCCCAACUUGCUAAAAGACACCAGUAAAGUAGUCAAUACAUGUGCAUCAACCCAUCCCUUGUCUCUCAUCUCAUUAAAAACACCCAAGGCCUUUUCAAACUCCCCACUGUUGCAAUAACACUGCAACAAUGGUGUCAAAGUAUGCUUAUCAAUCUGCCAACCAAGAUCCCUCAUUUCAUUAAACCUAGUCUCAAUCAAACCAACAUCUCCACUCCUCGAGAUUGCCUCCAAUAAACAGUUAUAGCUGUAACUAUUUGGAACACAAACUCUUGAGCUCUUCACUUGAUCAAAUAGAUCAAUAGCCUCUUUAACCAGGCCUUGACUACCUAAACACCUUAUAAAAUAACCCAAAGCCCCAGGCGUCCAGAAAAACUGAAAAUUCGAUAAAUUUAGAGCAAGAGCUCUCAACGGGGCAUUUUGUCGAGCAUUUGAUAGGAUUGAUGCCAUGGCAUUAUAAGUAUAGCAACUAUGCGCAUACCCUUUUUGAUCGGAUGCCCAGUUGAAGAACAUAUGCGCUACUCUCCAAUUCUUGAAGGACUUCAAAACAGUUUCCACUAUUUCAGGAGUCAGAUAUGAGCUUAACUCUUGAAGCUCUGGGGAUUCUAAAGAAAACGGUCGCUUUGUAAAAAUGGAAAUCAGGGCUUCAACUGUGGUUCGACUCGCAUUGGUGCAAAUGGGUUUUGUCUGAAUCAAAUUGUGGUCAUAUCUGUUUGUAUAAAUAGUUGAAUUGAUGAAAUUUUGAUUGGAUAGCUUGAGAAGAGUAAUGUGAUGAGUUGUUUUGAGGAUUCGGUUUCUACACAAUGCCAUUGUAUUUUACAGGGCUUUGGAUAGAAUUUGUGGAUUUUCAAUGAAAUUUACCGUUGGAUUUCAUUGAAGAAUAAACAGCACAAUCCAUGGAACUUUUCCUUUGUAUGAAGUUGGCGG
This 2610-nucleotide long non-coding RNA is filed under the name Olea europaea subsp. europaea. The record is from RNAcentral. Lineage: Eukaryota; Viridiplantae; Streptophyta; Magnoliopsida; Lamiales; Oleaceae.